RNAcentral lists this ribosomal RNA (325 nucleotides) under Buitinga ruhiza. RNAcentral describes it as "partial 12S ribosomal RNA". Lineage: Eukaryota; Metazoa; Arthropoda; Arachnida; Araneae; Pholcidae. The record is from RNAcentral.
UUUUAUUAAAACAUAGGUAGUAAUAAACAUAAAACCAAUAUAUUAUGGCGGUUUUAACAAUUUAGAGAAACUCGCUUUAUAAUCGAUAAUUCCCGAUAAAUUUCACUUAUUUUAAAAAAUUUAUAUACCGCCGUAUAAGAUCUAAUAUUUUUAUUAAAUUCAUAAUUUACAAUUACAAUAAUUCAGGUCAAGGUGUAAUUAAUUAAUAAGAAAAAGUAAGUUACAUUAAAAUAAAUUUAAGGACUCAAAAUAAAAAUAAAGAUAAAAAAGAAUUUAAAUGUAAAUUUAAGUUAAAAAUUAAAAUAGAACUAAUCAGUUAAAACGC